This 375-nucleotide ribosomal RNA is filed under the name uncultured organism. RNAcentral describes it as "partial 16S ribosomal RNA". It matches the Rfam family "Bacterial small subunit ribosomal RNA", at positions 527 to 896 of the family's 1533-position model. The record is from RNAcentral.
GUAGGUAGCAAGCGUUGUCCGGGAAUUAUUGGGGCGUAAAGCGCGCGCAGGCGGUUCUUUAAGUCUGAUGUGAAAGCCCACGGGCUCAACCGUGGAGGGUCAUUGGAAACUGGAGAACUUGAGUACAGAAGAGGAAAGCGGAAUUCCACGUGUAGCGGUGAAAUGCGUAGAGAUGUGGAGGGACACCAGUGGCGAAGGCGGCUUUCUGGUCUGUAACUGACGCUGAGGCGCGAAAGCGUGGGGAGCAAACAGGAUUAGAUACCCUGGUAGUCCACGCCGUAAACGAUGAGUGCUAAGUGUUAGGGGGUUUCCGCCCCUUAGUGCUGCAGCUAACGCAUUAAGCACUCCGCCUGGGGAGUACGGCCGCAAAGGCUG